CAAAGGAAUUGACGGGGCCCGCACAAGCAGCGGAGCAUGUGGUUUAAUUCGAAGCAACGCGAAGAACCUUACCUAGACUUGACAUCUCCUGAAUUACCCGUAACUGGGGAAGCUCUUCGGAGCAGGAAGACAGGUGGUGCAUGGUUGUCGUCAGCUCGUGUCGUGAGAUGUUGGGUUAAGUCCCGCAACGAGCGCAACCCUUAUCGUUAGUUGCUACCAUUAGGUUGAGCACUCUAGCGAGACUGCCCGGGUUAACCGGGAGGAAGGUGGGGAUGACGUCAAAUCAUCAUGCCCCUUAUGUCUAGGGCUACACACGUGCUACAAUGGUGAGGACAAAGAGACGCAAGACCGCGAGGUGGAGCAAAUCUCACAAACCUCAUCCCAGUUCGGAUUGCAGGCUGAAACUCGCCUGCAUGAAGCCGGAGUUGCUAGUAAUCGCGAAUCAGCAUGUCGCGGUGAAUACGUUCCCGGGCCUU
Molecule: ribosomal RNA, 476 nt
Filed under: uncultured Clostridium sp.
Lineage: Bacteria; Bacillati; Bacillota; Clostridia; Eubacteriales; Clostridiaceae
Description: bacterial SSU rRNA
Rfam family: Bacterial small subunit ribosomal RNA
Source: RNAcentral